CCUUAAACCACAGUAGUUAAAACAACAAAACUACUCGCCAGAAUACUACAAGCAACAGCUUGAAACUCAAAGGACUUGGCGGUGCUUCAUAUCCCCCUAGAGGAGCCUGUUCCAUAAUCGAUAAACCCCGAUCUACCUCACCCUCUCUCGCUCAGCCUAUAUACCGCCAUCUUCAGCGAACCCUGAUAAAGGUCACAGAGUGAGCACAAAUGCCCCCUCCUCGCAAAAACGUUAGGUCAAGGUGUAGCUAAUGAGAUGGUAAAGGAUGGGCUACAUUUUCUAUCUCAGAAAACCCUACGACAACUCUUAUGAAACCUAAGAGUCCAAGGAGGAUUUAGCAGUAAAUUAAGAAUAGAGCGCUUAAUUGAACUAGGCCAUAAAGCACGC
This 387-nucleotide ribosomal RNA is filed under the name Erythrocebus patas (red guenon). RNAcentral describes it as "partial 12S ribosomal RNA". It matches the Rfam family "Bacterial small subunit ribosomal RNA", at positions 800 to 1384 of the family's 1533-position model. The record is from RNAcentral. Lineage: Eukaryota; Metazoa; Chordata; Mammalia; Primates; Cercopithecidae.